GGGGCUCUAGCUCAUAUGGUAGAGCGUUCGCUUCGCAUGAUGGCAUGAGCGCGAUUUGCGAGAGGCACAGGGUUCGAUUCCCUGGUGCUCCA
This 92-nucleotide transfer RNA is filed under the name Puccinia triticina. RNAcentral's name for it is "tRNA-Ala". It matches the Rfam family "tRNA". From Rfam's summary of the family: Transfer RNA (tRNA) molecules are approximately 80 nucleotides in length. The record is from RNAcentral. Lineage: Eukaryota; Fungi; Basidiomycota; Pucciniomycetes; Pucciniales; Pucciniaceae. RNAcentral also lists the same sequence under 1 other name.